AUAAAAUAAAAUACAGAUAAGACUCUAACAGCAAUAAUUAAAUUAUACUUGUAUAACUGUCUUGACAAGUCUUUUUGACUGGUAUUCUUUUUUAUUGGCCAUUGCUAACUAACACACUUGCAAUUUACUGUACCUCACUGUCUAUGCAAUUAUCAUUUAGUUUAAUUGUCACAAUGUGACUGUGGCAGAGCUGGGCUUCUGCCUUUGGAAAUACUGGCAGGGAUGGAGUCAAAUUCUCCUCCCUGCCCAGGUUCAUUGCGUCAGGUGGGAGCAAUCAACCAAUUAAUUGUUCAAUUAAGCACUCAGCCACCUGGCAUAAAAGGAGGCCUCAGCCUCCCAUUUUGGUGAGAGAGUUCUGGAAGGAGAAGAAGUGGUUGUCUGUGUGUGCUGUUUUGUUAAGGUUUUGAAACCAGUGAAGGUAAUGCCCAGCCUGGAAGCCGUAUUUUUGUUUGUUUUUAGAUGCUUGUACUAUAGGUGGGCAGGCUCGAGGAGGGCUUCAUGUGGAUUCUGGCACCAAUUCCUUAUCAUCCGCAGAUUCCCCAGCCAUCCUUCUUUGGCACGGCUUUGAGAAGCUGACAAUGGCUCUGCUGAGUUUUAGCCCCUCAAGGUUGGGAGCUGCAAUCCAAUGUGACACUGCCCUCCCUAAUUUUUCCUGCAUGACUAUUUCAUUGAAUUCCAAGGAUAUUAAUAUUCAAAUGCUGUUUAACUUUGAUGUUGCUCAUACAGAGCCUUCUGAUUGUGUUUAUUGGUAUUUUAUGUUAUUGAUGUUUUUUCCUCUCAA
Molecule: long non-coding RNA, 781 nt
Organism: Acipenser ruthenus (sterlet)
Lineage: Eukaryota; Metazoa; Chordata; Actinopteri; Acipenseriformes; Acipenseridae
Exons: 2
Source: RefSeq, a predicted model, not a curated record